This is a long non-coding RNA of Apus apus (common swift), 312 nucleotides long. RefSeq lists it as uncharacterized. Lineage: Eukaryota; Metazoa; Chordata; Aves; Apodiformes; Apodidae. The transcript is spliced from 3 exons. The record is from RefSeq and is a predicted model, not a curated record.
CAGAGAGCAAAGCAGAUUAAUGUCCCCAGAGGUGCUGCCCAGGCCUGACAGCAGCCACUCCAAAUGAUGGAGGUGGUACAGGUACCACACCCAGGUCAAGCUGUAAAGAGCCACCUCUAGGACAGAAGUGCCAGCAUCUGACCUCUGAGGAGCCUGAGGCUAGGACCGCAUCCAGCCACACCUAGGCUCCUCUCUGAGAAGGAGUUUAGAAAGCAAGGAGGUCAGGUCCAAACCUCGGCACUUGGCAGGAGAUCAAGACAUCCCUCUUAAAUGCUUUGGUGGGACAAAGCAGCCCCCAGGGGAGCAUAUAGA